UAAGGAGUAAUUUGUUAAUGAUGCAGCAAUUUCCUUCCCUUGACAGUGUUUAUAAUAUUGUACUCAAUGAUGAAAAACAAAGAGAAGUCAAGUCUGUAUCCCAUAUGAGCCCAGACUCUAUGUCUUUUAAUGUUCACACUGACAGGCCCUCUGCAGGGUUCAACCAGGGUAAAUUGUCUGGUUCUAACUUCAGACCUAAAGUCAAUUUUGAACAAAAU
This 218-nucleotide long non-coding RNA is filed under the name Nicotiana benthamiana. RNAcentral's name for it is "long non-coding RNA (NBEN_LNC036362)". Lineage: Eukaryota; Viridiplantae; Streptophyta; Magnoliopsida; Solanales; Solanaceae. The record is from RNAcentral.